Molecule: RNase P RNA, 323 nt
Filed under: Campylobacterota bacterium
Lineage: Bacteria; Pseudomonadati; Campylobacterota
Description: Epsilonproteobacteria bacterium (hot springs metagenome) partial RNase P RNA component class A
Rfam family: Bacterial RNase P class A
About the family: Ribonuclease P (RNase P) is a ubiquitous endoribonuclease, found in archaea, bacteria and eukarya as well as chloroplasts and mitochondria.
Source: RNAcentral
UGGGUGUAACGGAUAGCAGCUUGAUUAAUUGUCAAGAGGAAAGUCCGAGCUGCCGUAAGACAAUGUUCCAUUUAACGAAUGGCCGUAGCAAUACGAGGGAAAGUGCAACAGAGAUGAGACUUCCACAUCUGAUGUGGUAAAGGUGAAAAGGUAGUGUAAGAGACUACCAGUCUUUGCAGUAAUGCAUAGAGCUUGUAAACCCAACAUGGCAGUAAGAAACAGAUGGUUAGCGUCUUACAUCGCUAUUGUUUCGCUAGAGCUAAAGUGUGAACUUUAGAGUAGAUUAAUUGUUAUCAAUACAGAACUCGGCUUAUGUUACACCU